AACAAGGUUUCCGUAGGUGAACCUGCGGAAGGAUCAUUAACGAAUCAAACAAGUUCAUCUUGUUCUGAUCCUGUGCACCUUAUGUAGUCCUCUGAAGCCUUCACGGGCGGCGGUUGACUACGUCUACCUCACACCUUAAAGUAUGUUAACGAAUGUAAUCAUGGUCUUGACAGACCCUAAAAAGUUAAUACAACUUUCGACAACGGAUCUCUUGGCUCUCGCAUCGAUGAAGAACGCAGCGAAAUGCGAUAAGUAAUGUGAAUUGCAGAAUUCAGUGAAUCAUCGAAUCUUUGAACGCACCUUGCGCCCUUUGGUAUUCCGAGGGGCAUGCCUGUUUGAGUGUCAUUAAAUACCAUCAACCCUCUUUUGACUUCGGUCUCGAGAGUGGCUUGGAAGUGGAGGUCUUGCUGGAGCCUAACGGAGCCAGCUCCUCUUAAAUGCAUUAGCGGAUUUCCCUUGCGGGAUCGCGUCUCCGAUGUGAUAAUUUCUACGUCGUUGACCAUCUCGGGGCUGACCCAGUCAGUUUCAAUAGGAGUCUGCUUCUAACCGUCUCUUGACUGAGACUAGCGACUUGUGCGCUAACUUUUGACUUGACCUCAAAUCAGGUAGGACUACCCGCUGAACUUAAGCAUAUCAAUAAGCGGAGGAAAAGAAACUAACAAGGAUUCCCCUAGUAACUGCGAGUGAAGCGGGAAAAGCUCAAAUUUAAAAUCUGGCGGUCUCCGGCCGUCCGAGUUGUAAUUUAGAGAAGCGUUAU
Molecule: ribosomal RNA, 757 nt
Filed under: Schizophyllum radiatum
Lineage: Eukaryota; Fungi; Basidiomycota; Agaricomycetes; Agaricales; Schizophyllaceae
Description: eukaryotic LSU rRNA
Rfam family: 5.8S ribosomal RNA (bases 192-345)
Source: RNAcentral